CGCGGCCAGAGCCCAGCGUCCGUGGCCAGAUGCUCUUGGGAGCAGCCGGGGCGGGUAGAAACGGACAAAGGAAGCUCCCGGAUGGCAGGGACAUUGCUUCUCUGCUCAGCGCCGUUCCCGGCCCCCAGCAGGACCUUCAUGAAUGUUCAUCAGCGUUGAACCCGUGAGUGUCUCUCAUAGGGAUGAGGAAGACGCAGGUGGCUCAUAGCAGAGCUGGCAUUCUGACCCAGCUCUCUCUGGAUCUGAAGACACAGUUCUCAAAUAUCAUCUUGAACAUCAGCGAUGGUGAGAUUAGAGGAGGAUUUGGGGUCGCAAGGGAGGCUGGAGUGAAGGAAGAUGUCAGUGAAUUGUUGCUAGCCUGGAGUCUCCAGAAAUCCAAAUCCAGCA
Non-coding RNA from Microcebus murinus (gray mouse lemur), 387 nucleotides. NCBI's taxonomy places the organism in Eukaryota, Metazoa, Chordata, Mammalia, Primates, Cheirogaleidae. The record is from RefSeq and is a predicted model, not a curated record.